AACGAACGCUGGCGGCAGGCCUAACACAUGCAAGUCGAGCGGGGGAGCAAUCCCUAGCGGCGGACGGGUUAGUAACGCGUGGGAACGUGCCCAAAGGUACGGAAUAGCCUCGGGAAACUGAGAGUAAUACCGUAUGUGCCCUUCGGGGGAAAGAUUUAUCGCCUUUGGAUCGGCCCGCGUUGGAUUAGGUAGUUGGUGGGGUAAUGGCCUACCAAGCCGACGAUCCAUAGCUGGUUUGAGAGGAUGAUCAGCAACACUGGGACUGAGACACGGCCCAGACUCCUACGGGAGGCAGCAGUGGGGAAUCUUAGACAAUGGGGGAAACCCUGAUCUAGCCAUGCCGCGUGAGCGAUGAAGGCCUUAGGGUUGUAAAGCUCUUUCAGCUGGGAAGAUAAUGACGGUACCAGCAGAAGAAGCCCCGGCUAACUCCGUGCCAGCAGCCGCGGUAAAGUCUGUACU
Molecule: ribosomal RNA, 459 nt
Filed under: uncultured bacterium
Lineage: Bacteria
Description: bacterial SSU rRNA
Rfam family: Bacterial small subunit ribosomal RNA
Source: RNAcentral